This 332-nucleotide unclassified non-coding RNA is filed under the name soil metagenome. Its description in RNAcentral is "partial contains 5.8S ribosomal RNA, internal transcribed spacer 2, and large subunit ribosomal RNA". The stretch from base 1 to 120 matches the Rfam family "5.8S ribosomal RNA", at positions 35 to 154 of the family's 154-position model. The record is from RNAcentral.
GAUGAAGAACGUAGCGAAAUGCGAUAAGUAAUGUGAAUUGCAGAAUUCAGUGAAUCAUCGAAUCUUUGAACGCACAUUGCGCCCGCCAGUAUUCUGGCGGGCAUGCCUGUUCGAGCGUCAUUUCAACCCUCAAGCACAGCUUGGUGUUGGGACUCGCGUUAAUUCGCGUUCCCCAAAUUGAUUGGUGGUCACGUCGAGCUUCCAUAGCGUAGUAGUAAAACCCUCGUUACUGGUAAUCGUCGCGGCCACGCCGUUAAACCCCAACUUCUGAAUGUUGACCUCGGAUCAGGUAGGAAUACCCGCUGAACUUAAGCAUAUCAAUAAGCGGAGGA